UACGAAGGGGGCUAGCGUUGCUCGGAAUCACUGGGCGUAAAGGGUGCGUAGGCGGGUUUUUAAGUCAGGGGUGAAAUCCUGGAGCUCAACUCCAGAACUGCCUUUGAUACUGAAGAUCUUGAGUCCGGGAGAGGUGAGUGGAACUGCGAGUGUAGAGGUGAAAUUCGUAGAUAUUCGCAAGAACACCAGUGGCGUAGGCGGCUCACUGGCCCGGUACUGACGCUGAGGCACGAAAGCGUGGGGAGCAAACAGG
This 253-nucleotide ribosomal RNA is filed under the name uncultured bacterium. RNAcentral's name for it is "partial 16S ribosomal RNA". It matches the Rfam family "Bacterial small subunit ribosomal RNA", at positions 524 to 776 of the family's 1533-position model. The record is from RNAcentral.